This 69-nucleotide transfer RNA is filed under the name Ixodes scapularis (black-legged tick). It matches the Rfam family "tRNA". Rfam says of the family: Transfer RNA (tRNA) molecules are approximately 80 nucleotides in length. Their secondary structure includes four short double-helical elements and three loops (D, anti-codon, and T loops). The record is from Rfam by way of RNAcentral. Lineage: Eukaryota; Metazoa; Arthropoda; Arachnida; Ixodida; Ixodidae.
GCAGUCGUGGCCGAGUGGCUAAGGCGAUGGACUAGAAAUCGUGCACAGCUUCGAAUCCUGCCGACUGCG